Molecule: RNA transcript, 2783 nt
Organism: Zea mays
Lineage: Eukaryota; Viridiplantae; Streptophyta; Magnoliopsida; Poales; Poaceae
Exons: 14
Source: RefSeq, marked validated
CCCACGACGACCCACGACGCCUGCGUCGGCCCUGCCCGAACUGGCGUGCAGAGCAGUGCUCCACGACGCCGCCACCACCUGCCCCAGCAGCGGCACGCUCCGACAACGGCGACCAUGGCGGUGCGGGCGCGGCGGCUGGGGAGUCUGUUCCCUGCUAGAUCCAGUAGAUGGCUGACUCAUCGAGGCCCUCCGUGAACAUCAUCUGCGCCGGUCGUCUGCUCGGCUGCAGUGGAUUAGGAGGCUUGGUGUGGAGGCGCUCAGCAGCGGGUGGAAGUUCCCGUCAAGGAGUCUGUCCCGUCAAGGAGACCGUCGUGCCCUGGACGGAGUCAGAGCAAGAGUCGAUCAACAUUUUCCUCACGAUGAUUGAGCGACACAGGCACAAUUCACCAUGAUCCCAUCCCCCACUCAAACCUGCAAAAUCCUGUAGCCGAACAUCUCGAUGGUCUCACGUGCCAUUCCUUUCUACAGGAAUAGGCCUAUAACUGAUUUCAAUAAGUUUAUGCUGCAUUUCAUUCAGUGUGUUUGGAUGCAUAUAGAGAACACGAAGUUUAAUGUGUUUGGUGCAUAAUGAGAAUUGAGGAAAUGGGACAUUCUAGCAUGCUAUGUGAAUUGUGAAAGGCUAUAGAUUAAUGUGUACAGGUGGGAAUUCAUUAUCGGUUUACUAAUUAUAUAGCUGUUUUUCCCUAUUAUCUCUCUCAAUUUACUGUGUAUAAUGUACUACUAAUCUGGAAAUUGAUGUAUGAUAGCAUUUUUUAUGUUGGAACUGCCUACAUUUAUGUUGGUGCCGCUCCCACGAGCGCACCAGGACGCCGGCUUGGAGGUACUUGCACACAAGGGUCGAGCUCGGACGUCGUAGCGGUGCGGAGGGCCUCGGCCGUAGCAUGCCCCGCCCCGCCGCGCAUGCCUGCGCGGUCGGUGUCCCGCAGCACCCACACCGAGUGGCCUGUCUUCAAAGUCGUCCUCAUCCUCUCCUCCUGGCUCAACGAGACCAUCAACGUCUGGAUGUUCAUAGACCUGCUCGGGUUCAUGCUGUUCUUCGACCUCACCCUGGUGCACCUCGGCCAGUACUUCACCAAGGUGUCUGGUAUGAUUGGGCACCUCUCCUGCUCCGGCGACCGAGCUCCAACCAGGGACGUCUAGCGCUAGCGCCCAGGACGCACGACCCCCUGCUCCUCUAUCCUCAGCGCCGAGCCCCUCCGUCCUGUUUCUGGCAGCGAAAGCCCAGCCCCUGCGGCAAGCUACCUACUCGAUGGAAUGCCCAGCCGCUUGUCGGAUCUACGCAGCCCCUGCGCGACGUCACAAACUCCGGCAGUCAGGCGGGAUAACAAGCAGAGGUUUAGUCUGUUGGAGGAAGAUGGCGAGCUGUUGAUCCGGGCGAACCAGGGACACACACUAAAAAAAUAUAGUCUGGAGGUGACCUCAAUGUAAUUCAAUUAGUGAUGGAACAUUUGGGAGUCUACUCAUUAUGUAUUUCUUCUAUCUGGAAAAACACUCAAGGGAUCUUUGUUUAGAGGAUGGAGACCUAAAUCUGACCGACCUUCAUUGGUGGAUAAAUAUGCAGAAAAAGAGAUUCAGAAGGUCUUGGACAUCGCCGACGAGCGUAGCCUCAUUGACACCAUCUUCUUCUGCUACCUCGGGUGCAAUGCAAGCUAAGGUGGUCGACAAUGGUGUUCGCGGCGGCGAACUCGCAGCGCAGCCAGGUGAUGAAGCCAUCGCGCUCGUCGACGAGCCAGGCGACGGGCUCGGCCACGGCGGUGCCGGGGGCCGGCGAGGCGAUGACGGCGGCGGUGGAGGCCAUCGCCGUGCGUCCCUCACCACUGCGGGCCGCAGCAUAGCCCAGCCAGCAAUGCCGAGGUUCCUCCAAGAGAAUCCAGAGUAUGUUGCACAGGGUGUAACUUUAGCUCAGUUUUCGUUCCAGAUACCUAUACCUCUGCGGCAGGACUAUGUCAAAAAGAAACCGAAGUUGAUAAAUGCAAGUGAUGAAGCAAGUACAAUUACCUCUAAGUCUUCUGAACCAGACGAAGUGAACCCUAUAGCCUGGGCAGUUCCUACAAAACAUGAGGGCGAUGCCAGUGAAGAAGCUUCUCUCGCCGAUGAGACACUUGCAUCAGAAGUAGUGCUAACCCGGAAGAGGAAAAUAGGAAGCUCUUUGUCAGUAGAGCCAAACCAUCUCUCUGAUGAACUUGAACCAAAGUUGGAGGAUGCUUAGAACGGGGAGACGUCUAACUGAAAAGUGAUUGAUGCAAGCAUUGUGUAUGAUCCUUGGACAAGGGAAUCACGGAUGUUUGGUUUUGUCACCAUGGCUGCUACUAAGGAGGCAGAUCACUGCAUCAAAUAUCUGGACUGUUCUGUGUUGCAAGAACAUUUUAUUGUUUUGUCUUCACCACCGAGAAUCCAAGAGCGCCUCCCAUAGCCUCCACAUCCACAAGGUCCUGCUUGACUGCGACGACGUCCAGGCUGAUGCCCUCAUCGUGGAUCGACUCGCCUCGCUCUAGAAGGAGUGGCCCCUCUGGAGUUGAAUAUGCAGUUAUAACCAAUUUUUACCCCUUUUAUCCUAGAAGAGUUGCCAAGACACGGUAUAAGACCAUGAUAAUAGACUAAGAGAGGAUUUGUCUCUAAUUAUUAUAUGUUUUAUUUAUGCAGUCCCAUGAGAACUUUGAGUAUUUGCAGAUUGAUUUAUUAAUAUAUUAAAGUUAAAGAUUGUAUGUGUUGAGUAUGUAUCCAUUCUUGUUGGAAGUGUCUUGCAAUUCCAAUCCAAGGAUGUAUAAAAGACUGCAUGGGCU